AUGAAGGAUGCUGCUGUGAGCCAUGCCACCCCAUCAGCAAGCGUCGAAGUGGAUGCUCCCGAGACCAACCUAGGCAAGGAAGAUUCCCGCUCAUCUGACACUGAUUCCAAGCGCGUGCCUGGUGUCUCACCUGUGUCCAUGACAGAAGCGGCUGAGGCGGCACUUCACAAGGAUAUGCCAUCUGCAGAUGAGAAUCCUGGCACAACAGCUCCAGCUCCUGUCGGUGGAGAUACUGCUAAGGCGACCGUUCCGCGUGCUGGUCUUCCACCUAGGCGUCGUAGCCCCCGCAAGCAAUCAACAGACAUACCCAACGCUCCGGCUGUAGCUAGGAGCAGGAGAGACGAAUCUUGUUAUGUUCCUGCAUCCACACUGUUCCUGCCACCUGCAAAAAUCAAUUUGAUGGAGAAACCGCAAGACCGGAGCACAACUGAUGCAGGUGUCAAGCCGGGCACGAGUGACGCAGAGGAACGCCCGGAGCAGACUGCGCCUUCACCCGCAGCGGAAAUCCCCAGCAUAAAUCUGCGCACUUCCAGGCUCCCAGUCAAUGUCGGUGUCCCCUACAGUCCAAACAAGAAGAUUGUCAUGAAAGCUGCGGCUGAGACCGCUGACAACACGCCCCGCUCUGCAAAUAAGGCCGAUCAUUUUGUAGCGGCCGAUUCAGAUAUGUUUGUCGAUCUUUCACCCUUGGAUUCUGCCCCGAAAGUCAUUCGUGGUCCGGCCAGUAGGAAUGAGAGGCACCCAAUGGCCUUUACCCCACCAAGCUUCAGCCUCGGCGUCAGUCAAGAUCAACCGGUGGUGCACGAUCCUAUACCAGUUGCCUUUGCUUUCCCAGGAGGCAUGCUCGCAAUGAUGGCGCAACCAAUGGUCGAGGGCAGGAAGGCUGUCAAGUUCGCAGAGCCAAUUGUGCAAGCCACCCCUGAGGAGAUUUCACCGUCACUUGAUGAAGUUUACCGCAUGAUCGAGGAGACAGCAUUGCAGAGGAGUUCCUCACGAGGGCAAGGGCAAUCAAGUUCCAAUGUGCCUGCAGAUACGGUAUCUGAGGAUACCAUUAGGAGUGUCACCCCUGGUCCUGUGAGGCAGCAGAGGGUAGUUCACCCACCCCCCGCGGAAGACUACGAGCCCGAAUUCAGGGCCACUAAGGAACAGACCCAGCUGUACGAUAUCGUCAAGCGUUUUGGAAAUGCGAGGACCAACAGCAAGCACAUGAAGGAGCUGAAAGCGUAA
Molecule: ribosomal RNA, 1224 nt
Filed under: Triticum aestivum (bread wheat)
Lineage: Eukaryota; Viridiplantae; Streptophyta; Magnoliopsida; Poales; Poaceae
Description: partial small subunit ribosomal RNA
Source: RNAcentral